GUGUCUGAAGAGCACAUAAGACAUAUUAUGCUAUAUGAAUUAUAGCAACAUAGUCCUUAGUACCUUGUCCAUAUAAAGUAAUGACAUGAAACAUCAAUACUAUAUAUGGGCAAGGUAUCCUAAAUGUCAGAAAUUCCAAUUGAGAAGCAGGACCCUCACAGAUAUGCCAUGCAAAAGAUGGACUGUUGAGCUCAAUAAUGAUGUGCUGAGAGCUCCUAUUGAAGGGAAUUCAGAGGCAAUAAUCAAGGAAUUGGCCACAAUCAUUCAUUCAUCCCAUUCAAUUAUUGACAGGCAUCUACAAGAC
RNAcentral lists this long non-coding RNA (304 nucleotides) under Androctonus crassicauda. The record is from RNAcentral. Lineage: Eukaryota; Metazoa; Arthropoda; Arachnida; Scorpiones; Buthidae.